This 166-nucleotide ribosomal RNA is filed under the name uncultured Anoxybacillus sp. RNAcentral describes it as "partial 16S ribosomal RNA". It matches the Rfam family "Bacterial small subunit ribosomal RNA", at positions 1216 to 1382 of the family's 1533-position model. Lineage: Bacteria; Bacillati; Bacillota; Bacilli; Caryophanales; Anoxybacillaceae. The record is from RNAcentral.
ACAACGUGCUACAAUGGGCGGUACAAAGGGUCGCGAACCCGCGAGGGGGAGCCAAUCCCAAAAAGCCGCUCUCAGUUCGGAUUGCAGGCUGCAACUCGCCUGCAUGAAGCCGGAAUCGCUAGUAAUCGCGGAUCAGCAUGCCGCGGUGAAUACGUUCCCGGGCCUU